UACAGAGGGUGCAAGCGUUAAUCGGAAUUACUGGGCGUAAAGCGUGCGCAGACGGUUGCGUAAGUCUGUCGUGAAAGCCCCGGGCUCAACCUGGGAAUGGCGAUGGAUACUGGCUCGCUAGAGUGCGGUAGAGGAGAGUGGAAUUCCCGGUGUAGCAGUGAAAUGCGUAGAGAUCGGGAGGAACAUCAGUUGCGAAGGCGGCUCUCUGGACCAGCACUGACACUGAGGCACGAAAGCGUGGGGAGCAAACAGG
RNAcentral lists this ribosomal RNA (253 nucleotides) under uncultured bacterium. RNAcentral describes it as "partial 16S ribosomal RNA". It matches the Rfam family "Bacterial small subunit ribosomal RNA", at positions 524 to 776 of the family's 1533-position model. The record is from RNAcentral.